GAUGAACGCUAGCUACAGGCUUAACACAUGCAAGUCGAGGGGUAACGAGAGGAAAGCUUGCUUUCCUUGUCGACGACCGGCGCACGGGUGAGUAACGCGUAUCCAACCUGCCCCCAACUAGGGAAUAACCUUGCGAAAGUAAGACUAAUACCCUAUAAUUUCCUCAGAUGUCAUCUGACGAGGAAUAAAGAUUUAUCGGUUGUGGAUGGGGAUGCGUCUGAUUAGCUUGUUGGCGGGGUAACGGCCCACCAAGGCAACGAUCAGUAGGGGUUCUGAGUGGAAGGUCCCCCAAAGUGGAACUGAGACACGGUCCAAACUCCUACGGGAGGCAGCAGUGAGGAAUAUUGGUCAAUGGGCGGAAGCCUGAACCAGCCAAGUAGCGUGCAGGAUGACGGCCCUAUGGGUUGUAAACUGCUUUUAUACAGGAAUAAAGUUAGCCACGUGUGGUUAUUUGUAGGUACUGUAUGAAUAAGGACCGGCUAAUUCCGUGCCAGCCGCCGCGGUAA
This 506-nucleotide ribosomal RNA is filed under the name uncultured bacterium. Its description in RNAcentral is "partial 16S ribosomal RNA". It matches the Rfam family "Bacterial small subunit ribosomal RNA", at positions 28 to 523 of the family's 1533-position model. The record is from RNAcentral.